CACGUAGGGCGCAAGCGUUGUCCGGAAUUAUUGGGCGUAAAGAGAUCGUAGGCGGUCUGUUGCGUCUGCUGUGAAAACCCGGGGCUUAACCCCUGGCUUGCAGUGGAUACGGACAGACUAGAGGUAGGUAGGGGAGAAUGGAAUUCCCGGUGUAGUGGUGAAAUGCGUAGAUAUCGGGAGGAACACCAGUGGCGAAGGCGACUACCUGGCCUGUUCUUGACGCUGAGGCGCGAAAGCUAGGGGAGCAAACGGG
Molecule: ribosomal RNA, 253 nt
Filed under: uncultured bacterium
Lineage: Bacteria
Description: partial 16S ribosomal RNA
Rfam family: Bacterial small subunit ribosomal RNA
Source: RNAcentral